RNAcentral lists this small RNA (57 nucleotides) under Arabidopsis thaliana (thale cress). Its description in RNAcentral is "ATSL272420". Lineage: Eukaryota; Viridiplantae; Streptophyta; Magnoliopsida; Brassicales; Brassicaceae. The record is from RNAcentral.
ACUUAUUAUUUCCAAACGGCUGGUUCUUGACAUGUCUUCACUCUUCGGGUCAUAUCU